CCUACGGGAGGCAGCAGUAGGGAAUAUUGCUCAAUGGGCGAAAGCCUGAAGCAGCAACGCCGCGUGGAGGAUGAAGGUUUUCGGAUUGUAAACUCCUUUUGUUAGAGAAGAUAAUGACGGUAUCUAACGAAUAAGCACCGGCUACCUCCGUGCCAGCAGCCGCGGUAAUACGGCGGGUGCAAGCGUUACUCGGAAUCACUGGGCGUAAAGGGCGCGUAGGCGGGUUAGCAAGUCAGAUGUGAAAUCCCAUGGCUUAACCAUAGAAGUGCAUUUGAAACUGUUAGUCUAGAGUAUGGGAGAGGUAGGUGGAAUGCUUGGUGUAGCGGUAAAAUCCGUAGAGAUCAAGAGGAAUACUCAUUGCGAAGGCGACCUGCUAGACCAUAACUGACGCUGAUGCGCGAAAGCGUGGGGAGCAAACAGGAUUAGAUACCCGAGUAGUC
Molecule: ribosomal RNA, 440 nt
Filed under: uncultured bacterium
Lineage: Bacteria
Description: partial 16S ribosomal RNA
Rfam family: Bacterial small subunit ribosomal RNA
Source: RNAcentral